CUCCAGACUCCUACGGGAGGCAGCAGUGGGGAAUAUUGCGCAAUGGGCGAAAGCCUGACGCAGCGACGCCGCGUGAGGGAUGAAGGUCUUCGGAUCGUAAACCUCUGUCAGCAGGGAAGAACGGUCACUGUGCUAAUCAGCAGUGAAUUGGCGGUACCUGCAAAGGAAGCACCGGCUAACUCCGUGCCAGCAGCCGCGGUAAUACGUAGGUGGCGAGCGUUAUCCGGAUUUAUUGGGCGUAAAGCGUCCGCAGCCGGUUUAUUAAGUAUAGAAUAAAACUUCGGGGCUCAACCCCGUCUCGUUCUAUAAACUGAUAGACUAGAGUGUGGUAGAGGCAAGUGGAAUUUCUAGUGUAGCGGUAGAAUGCGUAGAUAUUAGAAGGAACACCAGUGGCGAAGGCGACUUGCUGGGCCAUCACUGACGGUCAGGGACGAAAGCGUGGGGAGCGAAUAGGAUUAGAUACCCCAGUAA
This 471-nucleotide ribosomal RNA is filed under the name uncultured bacterium. RNAcentral's name for it is "bacterial SSU rRNA". It matches the Rfam family "Bacterial small subunit ribosomal RNA", at positions 329 to 793 of the family's 1533-position model. The record is from RNAcentral.